This 460-nucleotide ribosomal RNA is filed under the name uncultured bacterium. RNAcentral describes it as "partial 16S ribosomal RNA". It matches the Rfam family "Bacterial small subunit ribosomal RNA", at positions 338 to 795 of the family's 1533-position model. The record is from RNAcentral.
CCUACGGGAGGCAGCAGUGAGGAAUAUUGGUCAAUGGGCGCAAGCCUGAACCAGCCAAGUCGCGUGAGGGAUGACGGUCCUAUGGAUUGUAAACCUCUUUUGUCGGGGAGCAAGGCCCGCCACGUGUGGCGGGAAGGAGAGUACCCGAAGAAAAAGCAUCGGAUAACUCCGUGCCAGCAGCCGCGGUAAGACGGGGGAUGCGAGCGUUAUCCGGAUUUAUUGGGUUUAAGGGGUGCGUAGGCGGAAGGUUAAGUCAGCGGUAAAAUGUCGGUGCUCAACACCGGCCGGCCGUUGAAACUGGUCUUCUUGAGUGAGCGAGAAGUAUGCGGAAUGCGUGGUGUAGCGGUGAAAUGCAUAGAUAUCACGCAGAACUCCGAUUGCGAAGGCAGCAUACCGGCGCUCAACUGACGCUGAGGCACGAAAGCGUGGGGAUCGAACAGGAUUAGAUACCCCAGUAGUC